Molecule: long non-coding RNA, 1954 nt
Organism: Meleagris gallopavo (turkey)
Lineage: Eukaryota; Metazoa; Chordata; Aves; Galliformes; Phasianidae
Source: Ensembl
AUGUCCUGCUCACGUCCUGUUCUUGGCCCGUUCAUGGCUUGCUUGCAGCCCGCUUGGUUCCUGCUCGUGGCCUGCUUGGAUUCUGCCCAUGUUGUGUUCAGGGCUGCUCGUGUCCUGCUCAUGGCUUGCUUGCAGCCUGCUCAGGGCCUGGCUGUGCUCUGUUCAUGUCCGGCUCAGGGCCUGUUUACAGCUGCUUUGUGGCCCUCUCAGGUCCUGCUCAGUCCUGCUCAGUUCUGCUCAGUCCUGCUCAGUCCUGCUCAGUUCUGCUCAGUCCUGCUCGGUUCUGCUCGGUUCUGCUCAGGUUCUGCUCAGUUCUGUUCAGGUUCUGCUCAGUCCUGCUCGGUUCUGCUCGGUUCUGCUCAGUUCUGUUCAGGUUCUGCUCAGUCCUGCUCAGUUCUGUUCAGGUUCUGCUCAGUCCUGCUCAGUUCUGCUCAGUUCUGCUCAGUCUGCUCGGUUCUGCUUGGUUCUGCUCGGUUCUGCUCGGUUCUGCUCAGGUUUUGCUCAGUCCUGCUCGGUUCUGCUCGGUUCUGCUCAGUCCUGCUCAGUUCUGCUCGGUCCUGCUCAGUCCUGCUCGGUUCUGCUCGGUUCUGCUCCUCCCAGCCCAUCCCUCCCUCUCCUGCGGUGCCUCUCGGUUCUGCACAGCGUAGGAAGGAAAGCGUUUCUGUACCCGAAGCGGCGUCUUUGUGUCUCGCUGCCUGCUGGAAGUUGGAGGCUCUCUGUCGCGUUGGUGCCGGCCGUCCCGGGCAGCGCCUGCUGCUCUGCGGCUUUCUUUUACCAAAGCCCUCAGAACCAAAUAGGGAGCAGCGGCAGCCCUGGCCUUCGUCUGCCGAGCGCUUUGUGUCACCCAGGGGCGUCCCGGCGAUGCUCCUGCUGCCCCGGCGCAGGCUGUGCUCCUUGGCUUCUCUGCCCCCAGCUCGGGGCUCCCCGCUCCCCCCGUCCUCCAGCUUGAAGGAAAGUGUUAACCUUUCUGCACCGAAUACCUCAGUUGGGAACCAGAGCUCACAAAACUUGAAUUAUAAGGUCCUUUUUGAAGAUCCUUUUCAGUGUUCUGCAGAGAAGAACUGGAAAAAAAAGAGAUUUGUUUACAUGGCCGCCGAGCCGCGCUGGCCGCGUCCUUCAUCUCCCGGCUCCUCGCCUUUCCGUGGGGUGGGAGAAGGGGUCCAGAGUCCGGCACCGCGUGGCCACGGAGCCCCGGCCGUGGGGUGGUGGCGGAGCUCCGGCCACAGAUGCCGGCUGGCCGCUGCGUGUCGGUCGCAGCUUUUCCUGUACCCAGGGCGAGAGAAUUCCUUAGAGCACACAGAGCUGCUUUUCCUUCUCUCCUUUCGAUUCUUUUCCCGGUGUGGUUGUGUUUGUCAGUUUCUUUUUCCAAACCCGAUCUCUUCUGCCUUCUGUCCGCGCCGCGCGUUGCCCCCCGUUGCUCAGCGCGACGGCGAAACGAUGAGACAAUCAGUGUGAUCUCUGCAAGGGCUUCUCCAUUUCCUCUCCGCAGCACCGUGCUUCACGUGGACGCGUCCUUUGCUCUUAGCGAGGAGUUUUUUCUCCCCUCCCCUCGUGUCUUAUUAUAAAUAACGAUGAUAAUAAUAAUAAUAAUGACAGUGGAGUGAAAUGAGGUUUCAGCAGCGCAUCCACGGUUUGGGGGCUGGGGGGCGAUGGGGGAGGGGAGCGCGGCCGCGUUCCCUGCGGGUCCCAGUCUUGUUCUCCUUUAACGCUGUAUUGUAUACAUUUGACAGCACAGCUUGACAAUUUAAGUAAUAAUCAAAGUGUUUGGUAAUAAUGCAUUAUUUUGCUAAACGAGAUUUGUGAUGGUUUCCCAGUGCAUUGUAAGAGGGAUGGAGGGAAACUUCCGCUGCCGCCCGCUCCUCCCUGCCACCUCGAUGCCAAAGUUGGACCAUUCCUGCUUCGCGUUCCCUUCGGCACACGUUUGGUGCAGAGCUCACCAAGCAGCGACCUUUCG